AGCUGUAGUUUAUAAUAUAAUAGUAAGUUGCAAGCUUAAAGAUGAGAUUUUCUCCGGCUU
RNAcentral lists this transfer RNA (60 nucleotides) under Polycera hedgpethi. Its description in RNAcentral is "tRNA-Cys". The record is from RNAcentral. Lineage: Eukaryota; Metazoa; Mollusca; Gastropoda; Nudibranchia; Polyceridae.